UUCAAGCAAUUCUCCUGCCUCAGCCUACUGAGUAGCUGAGAUUACAGGUGCACACCACCACGUCCGGCUGACUUUUGUAUUUUUAGUAGGGACGGGGUUUCACCAUAUUGGUCAGGGUAGUCUUGAACUCCUGACCUCAUGCUCUGCCCAGCUUGGCUUCCCAAAGUGCUGUGAUUACAGGCUUAAGCCACAGCGCCCGGCCCAAAGUGUUCUUUUUUCCUUGAAAAGAAGUACAGAUUUUUUAAAAAGCUAAUAUUGCUGUGAUUCAACUCUCUAGUUACUUGAUGCUAUUUCUUCAUUUCUAUUGUAUUCACAUGUGAAAGCAUGUGAUCAGUUGUCACGGCAUCAAAGAUAGGAGAGUUUCUUUUUUUUUAGGUGGGCAUUAUUUAUGACCUUUUCUUUGGAAGAGUAAGGACAUUAAAAUGUAACAUGCAUGAUGAAAAUCUAAGUGGAGAUGGUAUUUGUGGUUAAUUAUGAUAUUGAGUGGUGCAUGAGGUAGGUGUUUAGAGUAAUAUUCUUUUGCAUUAUAGUAAGAACAUUUAAGUUUUGUUAAAAUUAAAAAAUUAGUACGUUAUUUUACUAUUUGUACUUUUAUGUAAUAAAAUGCAGUACAUUUUUAAAUUUUCAGAUGAUGUGUGAAC
RNAcentral lists this long non-coding RNA (641 nucleotides) under Homo sapiens (human). RNAcentral's name for it is "non-protein coding lnc-ZNF708-3:1". Lineage: Eukaryota; Metazoa; Chordata; Mammalia; Primates; Hominidae. The record is from RNAcentral.